This 95-nucleotide ribosomal RNA is filed under the name uncultured bacterium. RNAcentral's name for it is "partial 16S ribosomal RNA". It matches the Rfam family "Bacterial small subunit ribosomal RNA", at positions 261 to 353 of the family's 1533-position model. The record is from RNAcentral.
UGGCUCNCCAAGGCGACGAUGCGUAGCCGACCUGAGAGGGUGAUCGGCCACAUUGGGACUGAGACACGGCCCAGACUCCUACGGGAGGCAGCAUG